UAAAAUUGCUGCCUUGCGAAGAAAUGAACUUCUGAUCCCUGGAAUUGUUCUAACAGCUGUUUUAAAAUGUAGGUUUUAUUAUUAUUCAGGUAUGGUGAGCCGACAGAUCAAGAGAUGAUUGCCGUUGAAAAAGAUAAUUUCUUACAGUUCCCAAGAGAAGAGGGUACACCACGCCACACAGGGACACACAGGUGAAAAGGUGAAUUGAAAAAAGCACAAGGAAGAGCAGUAAAGUGACCCAGAGACAGUGGGCCAUUGGACACAUGGGCCUGUCAAUCUGAAAGUCAAGGCUGAGGAAGAAUAUUAUCCAAAUCUGUAAAAUCAUGGGAUCUUGGAAAAUAAGACUGGCGUACUUAAUUGGCAUAACAAGUAUCACCCGCAGCUCUUCUCAGAAAUGUUGGUAUUGAUGCGGGCUCGGCGAUGCAGAGUCGAAAGAAAGAUUUCUUGGACUCUCAAGGUCUGGUAGUAGUGCUCAUUUAUUCAGAAAAUAGCAUGGAAACAGGACCCAGGGGCAGUGAAGGGCUGCAGGCAUGGGGACAGGACCCAUGGGCAGUGAAGGGCUGCAGGCAUGGGGACAGGACCCGUGGGCAGUGAAGGGCUGCAAGCAUGGGGACAGGACCCGUGGACAGUGAAGUGCUGCAGCCAUGGGCACAGGACCCGUGGGCAGUGAAGGGCUGCAGGCAUGGGACAGGACCCACAGGCAGUGAAGGGCUGCAGCAUGAGGACAGGACCCACAGGCAGUGAAGGGCUGCAAUGUGUUGAAGUUUAGGGCUAAAUGUAUAAGGCAUGGGUAUGUGACUUAUGUUUACUAGACAAAGGAAAGAUGAUGUAAAAAGUCAUUAAAUGGUAUCAGUGCAGGUGGGGUCUGGUUAUCGUGUGGUCGUAUAACUUUAGAUAUGAAUUGGGUCAUAUAGAUCGGCUUAUAGGCCAGGACGCCUUGGGCUUCUCUCCCUGGGGCAGCUUUGAUCCACGUCGGUAUCAACCGAGUAAGCUCAUUGUAUAGUAUAUAUAAAUUUUCUUUUUGAUUCUUUUGGGAGGACUGAACUUACUCAUUUGACAAAUAUUUUUCAGCAUCUACUCUGUGCCAAGCACGAGGCUGGGCUAGAGAUGCAAAGAUAAGUAAGACAGUCUCCUCCUUCAAGGAAGCACGUGACUCUGCUCAUGGCUCCAUAGCAAUUUUCCUCCACCAGCAAUAACAGAAGGAAAUUGACAGAGACUCGUCGUUUUUAGCAUCACAGUGAAAAUAUUUCAUGCUAAUAGUAGACUAGAAUCUUUGGGAUUUUUUUC
RNAcentral lists this long non-coding RNA (1287 nucleotides) under Equus asinus (donkey). RNAcentral's name for it is "lncRNA (ENSEASG00005035875.1)". Lineage: Eukaryota; Metazoa; Chordata; Mammalia; Perissodactyla; Equidae. The record is from RNAcentral.